GGCGGGGCGGCUCCAGGGGGGGGGGGCGGGCGGGGGCUGGGCCCGAGGGGCCGCAGCUGAAGGCGUUGGGGGUGUUCCGGGCGGAGAAGAGGGCCGGGCUUCCCAGAAGCAUUUAUUAGUCUCCUGCUGUGUGCCGGGCUCCGGGGGGCGGCAGGGGGCCCUCCAGCGGCAGAGGUCUGCGAGCUAGCAGAGCCCUAGACUGAGUGUGGGGUUUAAAAAAGUGUUAACGCUUCUUGUUUCCAGGACCCUCGCGGGGCUCGUUUCCGGCGUUCGCCCUUGCAAGAGCCGGUGUUCCGAACGGUUUCCGUCCCUCCCCGCUUCCCCGGGAGCAAGCGGCCCAAGCCCUGCAGUUCUUCCAGACCCGCGUCCCCAGUGACCGCGCUGCACAGGGACGAUCAGAUCCGAAGGAAAGGAACGAGAAAGAGUAAAACGCAGAGGAGGACGUCACACAGCGGCGGGAGCGCACUCGCCCCCACGGGCCUCUCGGGCUGCACGCGGCUCUCCCCGUCCCAGUCCAUGGGGGCCGCCUGGAUCACCUCCUGGCUGCCGAGGGCCGCGUCCGUCCGAACUGCUCGUUCCGUGGCCUUGUUGUUGCCGUGUGCGACGGCCCCUGGCCCUGCUCGUUUCCCUCGGCAUCAGUCCGCGCCGGUCUCUCGGGCCCUCGGGCAUCCUCCGCUGGUCGCUUCUCACAGAGCAGCGGAGCUCCAUGACGUCCUUAUACCACGGUUCAUUCAGCCGCUCCCCAGUGACGGGCGUCCCCUCAGUGUCCAGUUCCUGCCGCCACAGACAGUCCGGCACAUGCGGGCCCCUUUCCCUUCCUCAUGACUCUUGGGGGUGCAGGCCCAGCGGUUUGUGAGGGACGGUCGGACCGGAGCUGAGCCCAUUUCCCGCACCUGGUCAACGCUCUGGCCCCGCCCGAACAAAGAGGGCCUGGAGGUUCCCUCUGAUCUCCGUGAGCCUCCUCCUCUAGGAACCCAGGGCUUCCUGGAGCCCCUCCUAGCCCCCCGCCCGCCGCAGCUCCGUUCCCUAACUUACCUGGGCGGGGGCGGCGUGCCCUGGUGGGUGGGCAGCCUACCCGUCCGACUUGGCAGAGAUGCUGGAGAGCAUGGGCAUUUCCUUCUCCAGCUCAUCUUACAGAUGAGGAAACUGAGGCAGGCAGAGUCCCCCCUCCCCCAGCUAGUGAGGGUCUGGCUGAGGCUGGAUUCGUACUCGGCUCUUCCUGAGUCCGGGCCCCUGCUCUGUCCAACGCCCUACCCAGCCGCCCUUGCUGCAAGCAGGAAGUUCAGGGUUCGAAUCCUGCCAGAUUUGCCACUUACCACCAGGGUGAGCCCGGCCAAGGCACUUCUCCCUUCCUCGGAGCUUCCGUUUCCUCCUCUGUGAAAUGAAUGAGCUGGACUCUAAGGUCCCCCCCCCCCCCCAAAUCUGCAAUCUCUUGUGGAUUCCGCUCAGUCCAGUUCAAGCAGGAUUAAUGAAACCAUCACUGUGUGGCCCUGGGCGCGGUGCUGGAGCCAGAAGGGAAAAAGCAGUCCCGGUCUGCGGCAGGAGAAGGGCCUCUAGGGCAUGCUAGGGGGGAGGGAAGACCACCCGGAGGCGGCAGCCCCAGCCCAAGUUUCUGGGAGGAGGGGGGAGGGGGAGAAGGAAGAGGAAGAGGGGGAAGAGGAGAAGGAAGGAGAGGAG
Long non-coding RNA from Sarcophilus harrisii (Tasmanian devil), 1677 nucleotides. Lineage: Eukaryota; Metazoa; Chordata; Mammalia; Dasyuromorphia; Dasyuridae. The record is from Ensembl.